Molecule: microRNA precursor, 59 nt
Filed under: Gallus gallus (chicken)
Lineage: Eukaryota; Metazoa; Chordata; Aves; Galliformes; Phasianidae
Description: Gga-Mir-34-P2a_pre stem-loop
Source: RNAcentral
AGGCAGUGUAGUUAGCUGAUUGUACCCAGCGCCCCACAAUCACUAAAUUCACUGCCAUC